Molecule: transfer RNA, 73 nt
Filed under: Ailuropoda melanoleuca (giant panda)
Lineage: Eukaryota; Metazoa; Chordata; Mammalia; Carnivora; Ursidae
Rfam family: tRNA
About the family: Transfer RNA (tRNA) molecules are approximately 80 nucleotides in length.
Source: Rfam by way of RNAcentral
ACUCGGCUGGCUCGGUUGGUGGAGCACGUGACUCCUGAUCUUGCGGUUGUGAGUUCAAGCCCCACGAUGGGUG